Mus musculus (house mouse) is the source of this 1047-nucleotide long non-coding RNA. RefSeq annotates it as predicted gene, 35109. The record is from RefSeq and is a predicted model, not a curated record. NCBI's taxonomy places the organism in Eukaryota, Metazoa, Chordata, Mammalia, Rodentia, Muridae. The transcript is spliced from 6 exons.
CCCUCAGAGCCAGUAGGUCUCAAAUGAACUUGGCUCUUGGAUAUGAGCACAUGCUUGAAAUGAGGGGAGGGUGAGAAGGCAGACCUGAGAGGGCGUGUCUAUGCCAUAGGGAGAAAAAAACACUCAAAGAGAAGCCUGCUCCAGACUCAGAAAAGCCAGACCAUUGCACUUUCUGUCCACAUGGCUUCCAAGGCAGAAACCAAGCUUCCAUAUGCCUAUGACAGUUCUUUCCAGAAAAUCCUUCAGUUUCCUCAGAAACCCAGAUUCCCAGGACCUGGUAUAGAUGCACCAACAGGGCAAAGAUCUGGCUUGUGAGAAGUUUCUUUUUGUAAAGUGACUAACCAUACUUCUUCACACUUGUCUCUGUGUGGGUGGGCACCCUGUCCUGGUCCUGGUCAGUUUAAACAAGGGAAGAUCUUGGUGCUCACUCAUCCCAGGUUUCUAAGGCACUUUCUUCUGAUCAUCAUCAUUGAUAAAGAUUUCUGGACCAGUAUUUACUCAUUGCUCAUGGAAUAAUCCAGGCUCCAGAUAUCACUGUUUCCCUGGGUUGAAUACCAGUUGGCUGCACAGUGGUACUGUGGUGAUUCUAUGGAACAACGGCUGCUCCGGCUACUGCCUGUACAAGCUCAAAAGAGGAAGCGAGGACAUCAGCCAUCAUCCUAUUCCAGCAUGACCUCAUCUGAACUUCACAAAUUACAACGGUGGUGACACUGUUUCCAAACAAGGUCACGUACUAGAGGUUAGAAUGCCAAUGUGUCAUUUUACAGGACAAGAUUCAGCUUCUAAUAAUGUACUCCACUCAAAAUGGAGCUCAUGAUCCGCCCUCUUUAGAUUCAUAGAUAGGCAAUGAAUGGCAGCCUUUCCUGAUGCUGUGGGCCCCUGAUCUAUAUAGAACAGGCUAGUCACAAGGCACAUGAAGCUUAUGAUAGGACCCAGAGUCUCUCCAGAAAGUUUCUGCACUCUACCUUAACAGAAAAAUGGGUCUUUUCUCAAGGGAAGCCAAUGUAUUUACUAUUUAGGAGACAGAAGGCUUCUUGACAUUUAAAA